Molecule: ribosomal RNA, 1346 nt
Filed under: uncultured bacterium
Lineage: Bacteria
Description: partial 16S ribosomal RNA
Rfam family: Bacterial small subunit ribosomal RNA
Source: RNAcentral
GACGAACGCUUGCGGCGUGCUUAACACAUGCAAGUCGAACGGAAAGGCCCUGCUUUUGUGGGGUGCUCGAGUGGCGAACGGGUGAGUAACACGUGAGUAACCUGCCCUUGACUUUGGGAUAACUUCAGGAAACUGGGGCUAAUACCGGAUAGGAGCUCCUGCUGCAUGGUGGGGGUUGGAAAGUUUCGGCGGUUGGGGAUGGACUCGCGGCUUAUCAGCUUGUUGGUGGGGUAGUGGCUUACCAAGGCUUUGACGGGUAGCCGGCCUGAGAGGGUGACCGGCCACAUUGGGACUGAGAUACGGCCCAGACUCCUACGGGAGGCAGCAGUGGGGAAUAUUGCACAAUGGGCGGAAGCCUGAUGCAGCAACGCCGCGUGCUGGAUGACGGCCUUCGGGUUGUAAACCGCUUUCGCCUGUGACGAAGCGUGAGUGACGGUAAUGGGUAAAGAAGCACCGGCUAACUACGUGCCAGCAGCCGCGGUGAUACGUAGGGUGCGAGCGUUGUCCGGAUUUAUUGGGCGUAAAGGGCUCGUAGGUGGUUGAUCGCGUCGGAAGUGUAAUCUUGGGGCUUAACCCUGAGCGUGCUUUCGAUACGGGUUGACUUGAGGAAGGUAGGGGAGAAUGGAAUUCCUGGUGGAGCGGUGGAAUGCGCAGAUAUCAGGAGGAACACCAGUGGCGAAGGCGGUUCUCUGGGCCUUUCCUGACGCUGAGGAGCGAAAGCGUGGGGAGCGAACAGGCUUAGAUACCCUGGUAGUCCACGCUGUAAACGGUGGGUACUAGGUGUGGGGUCCAUUCCACGGGUUCCGUGCCGUAGCUAACGCUUUAAGUACCCCGCCUGGGGAGUACGGCCGCAAGGCUAAAACUCAAAGGAAUUGACGGGGCCCCGCACAAGCGGCGGAGCAUGCGGAUUAAUUCGAUGCAACGCGUAGAACCUUACCUGGGUUUGACAUGGAUCGGGAGUGCUCAGAGAUGGGUGUGCCUCUUUUGGGGUCGGUUCACAGGUGGUGCAUGGCUGUCGUCAGCUCGUGUCGUGAGAUGUUGGGUUAAGUCCCGCAACGAGCGCAACCCUUGUUCACUGUUGCCAGCACGUUAUGGUGGGGACUCAGUGGAGACCGCCGGGGUCAACUCGGAGGAAGGUGGGGAUGACGUCAAGUCAUCAUGCCCCUUAUGUCCAGGGCUUCACGCAUGCUACAAUGGCUGGUACAGAGAGUGGCGAGCCUGUGAGGGUGAGCGAAUCUCGGAAAGCCGGUCUCAGUUCGGAUUGGGGUCUGCAACUCGACCUCAUGAAGUCGGAGUCGCUAGUAAUCGCAGAUCAGCAACGCUGCGGUGAAUACGUUCCCGGGGCU